RNAcentral lists this ribosomal RNA (467 nucleotides) under uncultured bacterium. RNAcentral's name for it is "partial 16S ribosomal RNA". It matches the Rfam family "Bacterial small subunit ribosomal RNA", at positions 28 to 507 of the family's 1533-position model. The record is from RNAcentral.
GAUGAACGCUGGCGGCGUGCUUAACACAUGCAAGUCGAACGGAAAGGCCCAAGCUUGCUUGGGUACUCGAGUGGCGAACGGGUGAGUAACACGUGGGUGAUCUGCCCUGCACUUCGGGAUAAGCCUGGGAAACUGGGUCUAAUACCGGAUAGGACCACUUCUUGGAUGUUGUGGUGGAAAGUUUUUUCGGUGUGGAAUGAGCUCGCGGCCUAUCAGCUUGUUGGUGGGGUAAUGGCCUACCAAGGCGUCGACGGGUAGCCGGCCUGAGAGGGUGUACGGCCACAUUGGGACUGAGAUACGGCCCAGACUCCUACGGGAGGCAGCAGUGGGGAAUAUUGCACAAUGGGCGCAAGCCUGAUGCAGCGACGCCGCGUGGGGGAUGACGGCCUUCGGGUUGUAAACUCCUUUCGCUAGGGACGAAGCGUUUUGUGACGGUACCUGGAGAAGAAGCACCGGCUAACUACGUG